This 497-nucleotide ribosomal RNA is filed under the name uncultured bacterium. RNAcentral's name for it is "partial 16S ribosomal RNA". It matches the Rfam family "Bacterial small subunit ribosomal RNA", at positions 28 to 507 of the family's 1533-position model. The record is from RNAcentral.
GAUGAACGCUGGCGGCGUGCCUAAUACAUGCAAGUCGAGCGAACAGACGAGGAGCUUGCUCCUCUGACGUUAGCGGCGGACGGGUGAGUAACACGUGGAUAACCUACCUAUAAGACUGGGAUAACUUCGGGAAACCGGAGCUAAUACCGGAUAAUAUAUUGAACCGCAUGGUUCAAUAGUGAAGGACGGUUUUGCUGUCACUUAUAGAUGGAUCCGCGCCGCAUUAGCUAGUUGGUAAGGUAACGGCUUACCAAGGCAACGAAGCGUAGCCGACCUGAGAGGGGGAUCGGCCACACGGGAACUGAGACACGGUCCAGACUCCUACGGGAGGCAGCAGUAGGGAAUCUUCCGCAAGGGGCGAAAGCCUGACGGAGCAACGCCGCGUGAGUGAUGAAGGUCUUCGGAUCGUAAAACUCUGUUAUUAGGGAAGAACAAAUGUGUAAGUAACUAUGCACGUCUUGACGGUACCUAAUCAGAAAGCCACGGCUAACUACGUG